GGGGGGGGGGGGGCUGGUGUGGCCUGGCCCCUCAGCUGAAGCUCCGGAGGACGUAGCUGCGGUCCGCGGAGGCGAGGGAGGGAGGGAGAGACAACGAGAGGGAGGAAGAAGCGAGGCAGGAGCAGGCGGACGGCGUGUGUGGUGGUGGCGUGUGUUUUGUUUCGGGGAUUUGGUGCCUUGCUGUUUUCAGAUUUUUAUUUCGCGAG
RNAcentral lists this long non-coding RNA (206 nucleotides) under Oryza brachyantha (malo sina). RNAcentral describes it as "long non-coding RNA (OBRA_LNC000745)". The record is from RNAcentral. Lineage: Eukaryota; Viridiplantae; Streptophyta; Magnoliopsida; Poales; Poaceae.